This 2774-nucleotide ribosomal RNA is filed under the name human gut metagenome. Its description in RNAcentral is "bacterial LSU rRNA". It matches the Rfam family "Bacterial large subunit ribosomal RNA". The record is from RNAcentral.
AGCGUACACGGUGGAUGCCCUGGCAGUCAGAGGCGAUGAAGGACGUGCUAAUCUGCGAUAAGCGUCGGUAAGGUGAUAUGAACCGUUAUAACCGGCGAUUUCCGAAUGGGGAAACCCAGUGUGAUUCGUCACACUAUCAUUAACUGAAUCCAUAGGUUAAUGAGGCGAACCGGGGGAACUGAAACAUCUAAGUACCCCGAGGAAAAGAAAUCAACCGAGAUUCCCCCAGUAGCGGCGAGCGAACGGGGAGCAGCCCAGAGCCUGAAUCAGUGUGUGUGUUAGUGGAAGCGUCUGGAAAGGCGCGCGAUACAGGGUGACAGCCCCGUACACAAAAAUGCACAUACUGUGAGCUCGAUGAGUAGGGCGGGACACGUGGUAUCCUGUCUGAAUAUGGGGGGACCAUCCUCCAAGGCUAAAUACUCCUGACUGACCGAUAGUGAACCAGUACCGUGAGGGAAAGGCGAAAAGAACCCCGGCGAGGGGAGUGAAAAAGAACCUGAAACCGUGUACGUACAAGCAGUGGGAGCACGCUUCGGCGUGUGACUGCGUACCUUUUGUAUAAUGGGUCAGCGACUUAUAUUCUGUAGCAAGGUUAACCGAAUAGGGGAGCCGAAGGGAAACCGAGUCUUAACUGGGCGUUAAGUUGCAGGGUAUAGACCCGAAACCCGGUGAUCUAGCCAUGGGCAGGUUGAAGGUUGGGUAACACUAACUGGAGGACCGAACCGACUAAUGUUGAAAAAUUAGCGGAUGACUUGUGGCUGGGGGUGAAAGGCCAAUCAAACCGGGAGAUAGCUGGUUCUCCCCGAAAGCUAUUUAGGUAGCGCCUCGUGAAUUCAUCUCCGGGGGUAGAGCACUGUUUCGGCAAGGGGGUCAUCCCGACUUACCAACCCGAUGCAAACUGCGAAUACCGGAGAAUGUUAUCACGGGAGACACACGGCGGGUGCUAACGUCCGUCGUGAAGAGGGAAACAACCCAGACCGCCAGCUAAGGUCCCAAAGUCAUGGUUAAGUGGGAAACGAUGUGGGAAGGCCCAGACAGCCAGGAUGUUGGCUUAGAAGCAGCCAUCAUUUAAAGAAAGCGUAAUAGCUCACUGGUCGAGUCGGCCUGCGCGGAAGAUGUAACGGGGCUAAACCAUGCACCGAAGCUGCGGCAGCGACACUAUGUGUUGUUGGGUAGGGGAGCGUUCUGUAAGCCUGUGAAGGUGUGCUGUGAGGCAUGCUGGAGGUAUCAGAAGUGCGAAUGCUGACAUAAGUAACGAUAAAGCGGGUGAAAAGCCCGCUCGCCGGAAGACCAAGGGUUCCUGUCCAACGUUAAUCGGGGCAGGGUGAGUCGACCCCUAAGGCGAGGCCGAAAGGCGUAGUCGAUGGGAAACAGGUUAAUAUUCCUGUACUUGGUGUUACUGCGAAGGGGGGACGGAGAAGGCUAUGUUGGCCGGGCGACGGUUGUCCCGGUUUAAGCGUGUAGGCUGGUUUUCCAGGCAAAUCCGGAAAAUCAAGGCUGAGGCGUGAUGACGAGGCACUACGGUGCUGAAGCAACAAAUGCCCUGCUUCCAGGAAAAGCCUCUAAGCAUCAGGUAACAUCAAAUCGUACCCCAAACCGACACAGGUGGUCAGGUAGAGAAUACCAAGGCGCUUGAGAGAACUCGGGUGAAGGAACUAGGCAAAAUGGUGCCGUAACUUCGGGAGAAGGCACGCUGAUAUGUAGGUGAAGCGACUUGCUCGUGGAGCUGAAAUCAGUCGAAGAUACCAGCUGGCUGCAACUGUUUAUUAAAAACACAGCACUGUGCAAACACGAAAGUGGACGUAUACGGUGUGACGCCUGCCCGGUGCCGGAAGGUUAAUUGAUGGGGUUAGCGGUAACGCGAAGCUCUUGAUCGAAGCCCCGGUAAACGGCGGCCGUAACUAUAACGGUCCUAAGGUAGCGAAAUUCCUUGUCGGGUAAGUUCCGACCUGCACGAAUGGCGUAAUGAUGGCCAGGCUGUCUCCACCCGAGACUCAGUGAAAUUGAACUCGCUGUGAAGAUGCAGUGUACCCGCGGCAAGACGGAAAGACCCCGUGAACCUUUACUAUAGCUUGACACUGAACAUUGAGCCUUGAUGUGUAGGAUAGGUGGGAGGCUUUGAAGUGUGGACGCCAGUCUGCAUGGAGCCGUCCUUGAAAUACCACCCUUUAAUGGCUGGUGUUCUAACGUAGACCCGUGAUCCGGGUUGCGGACAGUGUCUGGUGGGUAGUUUGACUGGGGCGGUCUCCUCCCAAAGAGUAACGGAGGAGCACGAAGGUUAGCUAAUCCUGGUCGGACAUCAGGAGGUUAGUGCAAUGGCAUAAGCUAGCUUGACUGCGAGCGUGACGGCGCGAGCAGGUGCGAAAGCAGGUCAUAGUGAUCCGGUGGUUCUGAAUGGAAGGGCCAUCGCUCAACGGAUAAAAGGUACUCCGGGGAUAACAGGCUGAUACCGCCCAAGAGUUCAUAUCGACGGCGGUGUUUGGCACCUCGAUGUCGGCUCAUCACAUCCUGGGGCUGAAGUAGGUCCCAAGGGUAUGGCUGUUCGCCAUUUAAAGUGGUACGCGAGCUGGGUUUAGAACGUCGUGAGACAGUUCGGUCCCUAUCUGCCGUGGGCGCUGGAGAACUGAGGGGGGCUGCUCCUAGUACGAGAGGACCGGAGUGGACGCAUCACUGGUGUUCGGGUUGUCAUGCCAAUGGCACUGCCCGGUAGCUAAAUGCGGAAGAGAUAAGUGCUGAAAGCAUCUAAGCACGAAACUUGCCCCGAGAUGAGUUCU